This 280-nucleotide ribosomal RNA is filed under the name uncultured bacterium. RNAcentral describes it as "partial 16S ribosomal RNA". It matches the Rfam family "Bacterial small subunit ribosomal RNA", at positions 506 to 784 of the family's 1533-position model. The record is from RNAcentral.
UGCCAGCAGCCGCGGUAAUACGGAGGGUGCAAGCGUUAAUCGGAAUUACUGGGCGUAAAGCGCGCGUAGGUUGAUUGGUCAGUCAGAUGUGAAAGCCCCGGGCUCAACCUGGGAACUGCACCUGAUACUGCCAGUCUAGAAUACGGUAGAGGGUAGUGGAAUUUCCUGUGUAGCGGUGAAAUGCGUAGAUAUCAGGAGGAACACCGGUGGCGAAGGCGGCUUCCUGGGCCGAUACUGACGCUGAGGCACGAAAGCGUUGGGUAGCAAACAGGAUUAGAUA